UUACCGGGACCGACAGCAAUAUGAAGGCCAGGCUGAAGACUUUGCCGGAUUAGCUGAGAGGUGGUGCAUGGCCGUCGUCAGUUCGUACUGUGAAGCAUCCUGUUAAGUCAGGCAACGAGCGAGACCCACGCCCACAGUUGCCAGCGUACUCUCCGGAGUGACGGGUACACUGUGGGGACCGCCGCUGCUAAAGCGGAGGAAGGAAUGGGCAACGGUAGGUCAGUAUGCCCCGAAUAUCCCGGGCUACACGCGAGCUACAAUGGUUGGUACAAUGGGUAUCUACCCCGAAAGGGGACGGGAAUCUCCUAAAACCAAUCUUAGUUCGGAUUGAGGGCUGCAACUCGCCCUCAUGAAGCUGGAAUCCGUAGUAAUCGCGUUUCAACAGAACGCGGUGAAUACGUCCCUGCUCCUU
Molecule: ribosomal RNA, 412 nt
Filed under: uncultured Methanosaeta sp.
Lineage: Archaea; Methanobacteriati; Methanobacteriota; Methanomicrobia; Methanotrichales; Methanotrichaceae
Description: bacterial SSU rRNA
Rfam family: Archaeal small subunit ribosomal RNA
Source: RNAcentral